RNAcentral lists this unclassified non-coding RNA (442 nucleotides) under Carex vallis-pulchrae var. vallis-pulchrae. RNAcentral describes it as "partial external transcribed spacer". The record is from RNAcentral. Lineage: Eukaryota; Viridiplantae; Streptophyta; Magnoliopsida; Poales; Cyperaceae.
UCUACCCUCUUGGGGUAGCGAAGUCGGCCCUCGAUGGAUAUUUGCUUGCCCUGUUGACAUUUUUUUGUCGUUCGGGCAGCCGAAAUGUUGGCGAAGUCCUUGUGUUGGUGCGCGGCUGAAUGCCGCGWUGCUAUCGCUCGGAUUUCUGCCGGCUCUCACGGAUGCGGUGCCUAGUGCUAGCUCUGCGGGACUUUGCCCCGUAGACUUCGGGAGGUCCCUUGCACGAAUCAUUGCUCCUAUACGCCGUCUGUCGUGUUGCCGUUGGCGACGCGCAGAUCGUGUUCUGCCGUGGCGUCGUUGGCGACGCGUCAGAACAGUGUGUCCGGAGCGUGCUUGCGUGCAUGCGGAAUGCCUCUCUGUCCGUAUGAGCGGCGAUUUCCGGUCCGCGUCAUGCGAAGGCCCGCCCGUCCGGGUCGGUGCUGGAGCUGACGUGCCGGCUCUC